GAGUCAAAGAGCCGGAAGGCCUACUCUGCGCUGUAUCACUAAAUAAAUCAACAAAUAAUUCUAAGGUUCUUCCCUUCUUUCUUAUGCAAGGAAACAAGGCUCUAGGAAUCUGUGAACCGCAUAACCAAUUACCAAAUAAUAAACAGUAUCGAUUGGAAAUUAAAGCAAGGAGAAAGUGAGAGAUUGUAAAGUGACCUGGGAGUGAAGAAAGAUUAAAGGUCAUUUAUAAAAAUCACAAAGAGGAGGAAUCCCAGAACAGAUCCCCGCGGAACACCACUGGUCACCGACCUCCAUGCAGAAAAUAAACCAUGCUGCCCAGCAACCCCAAAUUUAACCCUAGCAUAAUCAUAGGACAAUUUACAAUGACUAAGUAACCUACCAACUGGUAUGUCUUUGGAUUGUGGGAGGAAACCACAGCACCUGGAGGGAACCCAUACAGUCGUGUGGAGAACGUACAAAUUCCUUACAGGCAGAGUCGGGAAUUGAGCCCUGGUUGCUGGUACUGUAAAGUAUUGUGUUAAUCUUUCUUUACCAAUCUUUUUAUUGAUGUAAAAGGAGCAUAAAUACAAAUAAGAGGAGAAUUAUCUCAAAUAUAUAUAUCAAUAACAAUACAAACAGAAAGUGAAAUAGACAUUAUCAAAAUCAUACAUAGUGUUAAGCUAGUAUGCAGUAUAUAAUAAAAAAGAAGACAGCUAAUUCUCCUCUUAUCAAUUCAUGGAGAGAA
This is a long non-coding RNA of Mobula hypostoma (lesser devil ray), 724 nucleotides long. RefSeq lists it as uncharacterized. The record is from RefSeq and is a predicted model, not a curated record. The transcript is spliced from 3 exons. Lineage: Eukaryota; Metazoa; Chordata; Chondrichthyes; Myliobatiformes; Myliobatidae.